Acipenser ruthenus (sterlet) is the source of this 862-nucleotide long non-coding RNA. RefSeq lists it as uncharacterized. The transcript has 3 exons. NCBI's taxonomy places the organism in Eukaryota, Metazoa, Chordata, Actinopteri, Acipenseriformes, Acipenseridae. The record is from RefSeq and is a predicted model, not a curated record.
GUUCCUUCUUGCAGGAUGAAUCUUCAGUUUUUGCAGUGACCCUCUGUGUUCCCUCUUGCAGGAUGAAUUUGCAAGACAACUCAAGAUCUCCGAUGGGAAGCUAGCACAAGUAGCUAGCAACAGUAUCAGGGAUAAUCUUGUGAAAAUUUUUAUCAACUACCAGCAACUUAACUAUGAGCUGAUUGAGGAAGCCCCAGCCAUCCGGGCGAUCGAUCUCGUGUCCAGUAUCGGCGGUCUGGUUGGUCUGUGGAUCGGAGUGUCAAUCUGCACAGUGGCCGAGUUUCUAGAGCUCCUACUAAACGUCAUCAUUUUCACAGUGAAGAAGAGACUGAUUCGGAAAAACAAGAAGGCUCCAUUAAAUCCGUACAUGAUUGCUCACCAAACUUUCAAGCCAAUUGUAUGAAGAUAUUGCAGCUAAAUUGUUUCACCCAAAACUGCCUCAAGUUCAUUCUUGCUAAUCAUUUACUUAUAAAUUACAAUACACUUGGUUAUAGAUUAUAACUAAGGUAAAACUUAAAAGUAACUAAAGUAAGUCAAUUAAUAUUCUUUUUUUAUUAUUAUUAUUAUUAUUAUUAUUAUUAUUAUUAUUAUUGUUGUUUGUAUUUUUCUAUUCAGAGUAUUAUGCUCCAUUAAAUGAUGGCCACAUGAUGGCAGAAGAAUACAAAAGAAUAUGUGUAUGGAAAGUAUUAUUUAAGUGUCAUAGCAUACAACAGGCUGUGUGGGCAUCCUGUCAUAUGUAGACCCCCUGAAUGUACAUUCAUUCGGAAAUGUUUACACACCUGUGAUCAUUUUCAAAACUGUAGAAGUUGAAAAACGUAACUCUUUCAUGCAUGAAAUAUUGAAAAUAGCUGAAAAAAAGCAG